AGGAUAAACGCUGGCGGCGUGCCUAACACAUGCAAGUCGAACGCUCUCUGGCAACAGAGGGAGUGGCGGACGGGUGAGUAACACGUGGGUACCUACCCCAAGGUGAGGAAUACCGGCGAGAAAUCGCUGACAAUACCGCAUACGUUUCUCGCAAGAGAAACAAAGCUCGCAAGAGCGCCAUGGGAAGGGCCUGCGGCCGAUUAGCUAGUUGGUGGGGUAAGAGCUUACCAAGGCGACGAUCGGUAGCUGGUCUGAGAGGAUGGUCAGCCACACUGGGAUUGAGAACGGCCCAGACUCCUACGGGGGGCAGCAGUGAGGAAUUUUCGUCAAUGGGGGCAACCCUGAACGAGCAACGCCGCGUGCAGGAAGAAGGUUUUCGGAUCGUAAACUGCUUUUCUCUGGGACGAGAACGGACGGUACCAGAGGAAGAAGCCCCGGCUAACUACGUGCCAGCAGCCGCGGUAAUACGUAGGGGGCAAGCGUUGUCCGGAUUUAUUGGGCGUAAAGCGCGCGCAGGCGGUCUGCCAAGUUCGGAGUGACAGUUUCCGGCUUAACCGGAAAAGGUCUUCGAAAACUGGUGGACUUGAGGACAUGAGGGGGAGACGGAAUUCCGGGUGGAGCGGUGAAAUGCGUAGAGAU
RNAcentral lists this ribosomal RNA (639 nucleotides) under uncultured soil bacterium. Its description in RNAcentral is "bacterial SSU rRNA". It matches the Rfam family "Bacterial small subunit ribosomal RNA", at positions 26 to 697 of the family's 1533-position model. The record is from RNAcentral.